UACGUAGGGUGCAAGCGUUGUCCGGAAUUAUUGGGCGUAAAGAGCUCGUAGGCGGUUUGUUGCGUCUGCUGUGAAAACCCGAGGCUCAACCUCGGGCCUGCAGUGGGUACGGGCAGACUAGAGUGCGGUAGGGGAGAUUGGAAUUCCUGGUGUAGCGGUGGAAUGCGCAGAUAUCAGGAGGAACACCGAUGGCGAAGGCAGAUCUCUGGGCCGUAACUGACGCUGAGGAGCGAAAGCAUGGGGAGCGAACAGG
RNAcentral lists this ribosomal RNA (253 nucleotides) under uncultured bacterium. RNAcentral describes it as "partial 16S ribosomal RNA". It matches the Rfam family "Bacterial small subunit ribosomal RNA", at positions 524 to 776 of the family's 1533-position model. The record is from RNAcentral.